UUCUGGCUCAGGAUGAACGCUAGCUACAGGCUUAACACAUGCAAGUCGUGGGGCAGCAUGGAGGUGCUGCAACUCCGAUGGCGACCGGCGCACGGGUGAGUAACGCGUAUCCAACCUUCCCCAUAGUAGGGGAUAGCCCGGCGAAAGUCGGAUUAAUACCCUAUGUUGUCCGAAGAUGGCAUCUGAUUCGGACGCAAAGAUUUAUCGCUAUGGGAUGGGGAUGCGUCCGAUUAGCUUGCCGGCGGGGUAACGGCCCACCGGGGCAACGAUCGGUAGGGGUUCUGAGAGGAAGGUCCCCCACACUGGUACUGAGACACGGACCAGACUCCUACGGGAGGCAGCAGUGAGGAAUAUUGGUCAAUGGGCGGGAGCCUGAACCAGCCAAGUAGCCGUGCAGGAUGACGGCCCUACGGGUUGUAAACUGCUUUUAUGCGGGGAUAAAGUGACGUACGCGUACGUUUUUGCAGGUACCGCAUGAAUAAGGACCGGCUAAUUCCGUGCCAGCCGCGGC
This 511-nucleotide ribosomal RNA is filed under the name uncultured bacterium. RNAcentral describes it as "bacterial SSU rRNA". It matches the Rfam family "Bacterial small subunit ribosomal RNA", at positions 17 to 518 of the family's 1533-position model. The record is from RNAcentral.